CGCCCUCACAUCUCCGCCGGUGUCCCCCAAGCCGCCGUCCUCCCACCGUCUCCGUCUCCCCCUCCCUUCGCUCCCCUCCCCUCCUUAGAGAGGAGAGGGAGAUCGACCAGCCAUGGCGGUGGCCUAGCGGCAGCUAGAUCUGCGAUGGCCGCAGGCACCUCUCCCUCCUCGCAAAGGCUAUAGGCUUUGCCGGUGUGGGACAGGAGGAUUUCUUCCUCACGUUGCUUCUGCUUGGCCGCGCGUGAGGAGAUGCCAUGGACGCUGAUGUAAAGCUCCGCUGCUCUGCCCCCCAUCCAGAUCCGCCCCCUUAUCUCUUCUCCUCUUCGAUCUGCCCUUCUUCCAUUUUCUUCCCUGAGGCAUGCAUUUUCUCUUGUUUCUCUUCCUCACACAGGCACCUGCACCACGAACUCUAUGCAAGGAGAGGAGUGAGGGUGCUGCAGGGAGGAAAGGGAAGAACGGGAUGCACCUGAGGAGCGAGGGUUUGCCAUCUUGGUUCCUGUUCGACCACGUUGCUUAUGGAUGGUGAGAAGAAGGAAGGUGCUGCAAGUGCCAGGGGAAGGGGUCGGAUGCUGCUGAAACCCUUGCUAUGAGGGUCUCUGUAUAGACCAAGCACCUACGGGUGAAAGGGACGUGAACCUUCAGAAAUCAAAUGUUUGGCGCCUGCGCGGCUCCGGCGCCUGCUGGAUGGUGCUCCUGGAACAAGACGGCGCGGAGGCCCUCCUCUUGCAGGAUGUGCUGACGCAGCGCACGCAGCAGCAUGUUUGGGACGAGCGCGAGCGUGAUGGCCUUGUCCCGACGAUGACGGCGGCGAACAUCAGUGCUCCUUCUCGUCCUCUAUCUCCAAGGACGCGCGCCGGUACAGCUCGGGCAACCCUGCCCCAAACGCCGACCACCCAUCUGGCGAUGUACAGGUCAUCCUCAUGUGUGUGGAUUCGCCUCCUGCUGGACUGAACACUUGCAAUGUGGACAUGGUGAUCCUCCUUUUCCCUCCCCCCUCUACCCAAAAUCUGGAUGACAUUUACAUCUGUACAUACAUACAUAUGUUUUAAUUUUGACUGAAACAAUCUGGAUGGCGCCUACAUCUAUAGAUAAAUAUGAAUAAGAACCAUGCUUUGGUUCAGUUUGUACAUAUCAAUUUGGUUUAAC
Triticum aestivum (bread wheat) is the source of this 1146-nucleotide long non-coding RNA. RefSeq lists it as uncharacterized. The record is from RefSeq and is a predicted model, not a curated record. The transcript is spliced from 3 exons. Lineage: Eukaryota; Viridiplantae; Streptophyta; Magnoliopsida; Poales; Poaceae.